GUACACUCCUGCGGGAGGCAGCAGUGGGGAAUUUUGGACAAUGGGCGAAAGCCUGAUCCAGCCAUGCCGCGUGCAGGAUGAAGGCCUUCGGGUUGUAAACUGCUUUUGUACGGAACGAAACGGCCUUUUCUAAUAAAGAGGGCUAAUGACGGUACCGUAAGAAUAAGCACCGGCUAACUACGUGCCAGCAGCCGCGGUAAUACGUAGGGUGCAAGCGUUAAUCGGAAUUACUGGGCGUAAAGCGUGCGCAGGCGGUUAUGUAAGACAGUUGUGAAAUCCCCGGGCUCAACCUGGGAACUGCAUCUGUGACUGCAUAGCUAGAGUACGGUAGAGGGGGAUGGAAUUCCGCGUGUAGCAGUGAAAUGCGUAGAUAUGCGGAGGAACACCGAUGGCGAAGGCAAUCCCCUGGACCUGUACUGACGCUCAUGCACGAAAGCGUGGGGAGCAAACAGGAUUAGAAACCCUUGUAGUCCCAUG
Molecule: ribosomal RNA, 477 nt
Filed under: uncultured organism
Description: partial 16S ribosomal RNA
Rfam family: Bacterial small subunit ribosomal RNA
Source: RNAcentral